RNAcentral lists this ribosomal RNA (914 nucleotides) under uncultured crenarchaeote. RNAcentral's name for it is "bacterial SSU rRNA". It matches the Rfam family "Archaeal small subunit ribosomal RNA", at positions 1 to 922 of the family's 1478-position model. The record is from RNAcentral. Lineage: Archaea; Thermoproteati; Thermoproteota.
UUCCGGUUGAUCCUGCCGGACCUGACUGCUAUCGGAUUGAUACUAAGCCAUGCGAGUCAUUGUAGCAAUACAAGGCAGACGGCUCAGUAACGCGUAGUCAACCUGCCCUAUGGACGGAAAUAACCUCGGGAAACUGAGUAUAAUGUCCGAUAGAACACUAUACCUGGAAUGGUUUGUGUUCCAAAUGAUUUAUCGCCAUAGGAUGGGACUGCGGCCUAUCAGUUUGUUGGUGAGGUAAUGGCCCACCAAGACUAUUACAGGUACGGGCUCUGAGAGGAGUGGCCCGGAGAUGGGUACUGAGACACGGACCCAGGCCCUAUGGGGCGCAGCAGGCGAGAAAACUUUGCAAUGUGCGAAAGCACGACAAGGUUAAUCCGAGUGGUUUGUGCUAAACGAACCUUUUGUCAGUCCUAGAAACACUAACGAAUAAGGGGUGGGCAAGUUCUGGUGUCAGCCGCCGCGGUAAAACCAGCACCUCAAGUGGUCAGGAUGAUUAUUGGGCCUAAAGCAUCCGUAGCCGGCUCUGUAAGUUUUCGGUUAAAUCUGUACGCUUAACGUACAGGCUGCCGGGAAUACUGCAGAGCUAGGGAGUGGGAGAGGUAGACGGUACUCGGUAGGAAGGGGUAAAAUCCUUUGAUCUAUUGAUGACCACCUGUGGCGAAGGCGGUCUACCAGAACACGUCCGACGGUGAGGGAUGAAAGCUGGGGGAGCAAACCGGAUUAGAUACCCGGGUAGUCCCAGCUGUAAACUAUGCAAACUCAGUGAUGCAUUGACUUGUGGUCAAUGCAGUGCUGCAGGGAAGCCGUUAAGUUUGCCGCCUGGGAAGUACGUACGCAAGUAUGAAACUUAAAGGAAUUGGCGGGGGAGCACCACAAGGGGUGAAGCCUGCGGUUCAAUUGGAUUCAACGCCGGA